GUUUCGGUAGUUUAAAAGCUUAGGACGCUUGUACGGAACAUAAGAGAUCCGGGUUCGACUCCCGGUCGAGGUA
RNAcentral lists this transfer RNA (73 nucleotides) under Trachymyrmex cornetzi. It matches the Rfam family "tRNA". From Rfam's summary of the family: Transfer RNA (tRNA) molecules are approximately 80 nucleotides in length. Their secondary structure includes four short double-helical elements and three loops (D, anti-codon, and T loops). Lineage: Eukaryota; Metazoa; Arthropoda; Insecta; Hymenoptera; Formicidae. The record is from Rfam by way of RNAcentral.